AAGAACAGUGAAGGUCGGCACCAAUGGGAAAAGGAAAGAAGAAUUCGAAUAUGGUAGGAGAAGAAAUGAUAGAAACCCGAAAGAACCCCCUUUUUCUUUUGUAAUAUUUGGCUAGGGAUAAACAAAGCAAAAAUGAAUGUGACCAACCUGAAAAGUUGAGAAAGAAAUCUGCAACAAAGCUAGAAACAAAAUUGACACUCAGUUAGCUAGAGAGUUGUAACUGAAUCCUUUUUGACCAAAUGGGACUCUUCUAAUUCCAUCAGCUUCUAAACCUUAGACUCCUCCAAG
Molecule: long non-coding RNA, 288 nt
Filed under: Gossypium barbadense (sea-island cotton)
Lineage: Eukaryota; Viridiplantae; Streptophyta; Magnoliopsida; Malvales; Malvaceae
Description: long non-coding RNA (GBAR_LNC003075)
Source: RNAcentral